UCAGAGGAGUAGAUUGGGCUUACUGUCCAUAUCCAGCCCAGCAUGUGAAGAUAUGGACCCCAAGAGAUGUGUUUCUGGAAGAUAGAUGUGUUUGACUCCAUGAGCAUCUCCUAUAAAGGUCCGUGGCCUGGGGUGGCACUCCAUCCCUCUGCUUGUGUACAGGAUAAAAGGGCUAUCUCCACAAAUCUACCUCAGUGCUGCUGGGAGAACCCAGCACUCAAUUCCGUGGCGGUGGGUACAGGCAUUGAAUCUCUGCUGUCACACCGUCCUCUGCACC
Non-coding RNA from Leptonychotes weddellii (Weddell seal), 277 nucleotides. NCBI's taxonomy places the organism in Eukaryota, Metazoa, Chordata, Mammalia, Carnivora, Phocidae. The record is from RefSeq and is a predicted model, not a curated record.